AUACGUAGGGAGCGAGCGUUGUCCGGAAUUACUGGGCGUAAAGGGCGCGUAGGCGGCGCUUCAAGUAGUCUGUCAAAUGGGAGGGCUUAACCCUUUUUCGCAGACGAAACUGGAGAGCUUGAGAAGCAGAGAGGCAAACAGAAUUCCUGGUGUAGCGGUGAAAUGCGUAGAUAUCAGGAAGAAUACCAGUGGCGAAGGCGGUUUGCUGGCUGCAUACUGACGCUGAAGCGCGAAAGCCAGGGGAGCAAAUGGGAUUAGAUACCCCGGUAGUCCUGGCAGUAAACGAUGUAUGCUGGGUGUGAGACUAGCGAUAGUUUCAUGCCGAAGUUAACGCGAUAAGCAUACCGCCUGGGGAGUACGGUCGCAAGAUUGAAACUCAAAGGAAUUGACGGGG
This 394-nucleotide ribosomal RNA is filed under the name uncultured bacterium. RNAcentral's name for it is "partial 16S ribosomal RNA". It matches the Rfam family "Bacterial small subunit ribosomal RNA", at positions 523 to 918 of the family's 1533-position model. The record is from RNAcentral.